This is an RNA transcript of Vespula pensylvanica (western yellowjacket), 11564 nucleotides long. RefSeq lists it as uncharacterized. The record is from RefSeq and is a predicted model, not a curated record. The transcript has 2 exons. Lineage: Eukaryota; Metazoa; Arthropoda; Insecta; Hymenoptera; Vespidae.
UCUUUCUCCCUUUCUCUCUUUUCUCGCUUUUUCUUUUUUUGCCUUCAACUACUCCAUUCCUACUCCAACUCGAGUUAAAUUUUCUACGUGUACUUAAUUUUUUCCAAUUUCACUCGAUUUCUUUUUUAUCUUGAGAAUUUGUCUCGUUGUCUUUCAUUCCGCCUGAAAUUCUUUCCAAAUUAUGUACCUUCUUUGCUUUCAACAUGUUAACAAGUCCGAACACUGUAUAAGCGACCAGAUUCGGAAUAAUUUACCCGUACGACGUAUAAAGCGGAGUCACGCGGAGUGACGUUAACGGUUUUGUUCAAAGUGGAAACGUGAGGAUCGAUGCGCGUCGAUUCGUUCGUACCUAUACGUAGGAUAUGCAUGUAUGUAUAUACAUACGUACAUACAUCUAUAGCGGGAUAGCCAUUAUCGCGGGACGGACGAUCGUCCAUUUUUCAUCGACAUGACGCCGAAAUGAUCGUGAAUGAGCGGAGCAAAUCAGAACGAACAUAAUGACUGCUGGGCACGGCCGUGUAAUGACUCUGCGCUUCGUCGCUUUACAUGCUCAUAACACGAACUCUAAUUUAAAUAUACGCCGGCCAAGCUGCCAGACAGCUUUUUCUUUUUUUUAUGAAUGACCCGUUUUGAAACGUACCAUUAACAUAUGGAAUUUCUCUUUGAGUUUCGGAAUCGCACAGGCAUCGCGAUCGAUUAAUUUUUCAAAAGUCUGUCACGUUCGAGAUAUAAAGAAAGCUAUUAUUUAAAACGACAACGAAGUUAGAAUUUUUUCAAGAUCUAAAAAGGACCGUUCUGCUUUGCUAAUUUCUUACUCGUAUAAAAAAAGUAGAAGUCAUCGAAGACGGAAAAGCGAGAGAAAAAAAGAGGGAAAUCUUUCGAAGUGAGUUCGUUGAUUCGUGCUCGUAUUACGCCUUUGCCAUGGAGAGGAAAUAUGCCGUCGAAACUGUCAAGUCAUAUAUUAUCGACUCCGGUAGUACGGCAAGCGUCCGGGAUACGGGUACAUCUUAAACGCAUUCAGGAAAUUGGCCGCGAUAUCGACGGCAAUUUAUCGCUAGAGAAAUACCCAAAAGUCCUGUUUUUUUCUUUUUUUUUUGUGUGCCGGAGUUACUAUCCUCGACUUCUUCUUCGUCGUUGUUGGAACACGCUUGCGUUUUGCUCGCUCGCUUGCUCACUCGUGUAUACAUGCACACUCUCACGCUCUCUUGUCGUCACCACGGUAACGCACGCGGAACCGUUUGCAACCACGAAGCAUUUGAAUAAUUCCGUCGUUUGCAGGCGGACUUACAACGAUGCCGUGCACAUCCAACCGACUCAUAGCCGCUACUUACCACGAGUAUAAGGGUGAUCUUCGGGCAGUUUUCGUACGCGUUUUACCGUGCCCUUUCUCCAAGAUGGGCCGUGAGCGCGCACGCGCGCCUAACUAUAAUGGUUCUUUGUGCGAGCUUUAUGAUUAUCGCGCGUGUACAAAAUAACGACGGACUGUAAUCUCCGAUACGACCUCCCUCCACUUUCUACCUUACUUCGAGAAAGAGAAAGAGAUAGCUCUUGAGAUCACGAGUUUACGACGAGAGUGCCUCUUUCCGACUUCAUUUUUCUUGGAGAUUACGUGGAUAUGAAGGUUGGGUAGAUUUCAUGUUAUGUGUUGGAAAUUUUCGUUUCUGUAGUAUUUCAUUUUUAUCUUGUCAUUAUUUUCCUUUUAAUCACUUAUUACAAGUCUAUUUGGAUAUUUCAUUUGAAUCGAACCAUAUAUGAUUGAUUGGAAUUUUUAAUGAUAACAAAUAGUAUUCAUUUUUAAUUUAUGUGAUCCUCUUUUUACGACGUUAAAUGUCCUUCAAUGAUUAUAUAGGCAUUAAUUUUGUUUGAAAUUGAUUAAAAUAUGAGACAUUAUGCAAAUUGACUUCAUCUUUUAUAGAUCGUAUUGAUUUAAUUCUCGCUAUUGCGAACUCUGGAAGGAACGGAAUCAAUGUGAUGACGGUUUUGCGAGACGCCCACGUUCUGUAGGAGCUCGUUCAGCGCGAUUUUGUCGAACGCAAGUCUGCCGAUACGUUUAAUCGGACUUGUUGUCACCCACAGCCGGCGGCUUUAUCGUGUUCACGAAUUUACAUUCACGCCUUGCCAUCUAAUUCUCACGUGGAAAGCGUAAGAUUUACAAGCUUUGCUAAAUCAAAGUGAACGAAUGUGGAUAUCGUACGUUCGAUUCUUUUCUCUUACGUCAUCGUGAAUGCUUUAUGAAUCCGUCCUAAAACUGUGAUAUCAGAAAGAGAAAAAGAGAGAUAAUAACUCUUCGUUGUGACAAGAGAAUGAAGACUCCUCGAAUGUGUAGGACAACACACCGAAUGACUUCACCUGCGUGGAAUUAUGAUACGGCCAUUAAUCAUAGAACCCUCACCAUGCGUGCGCACAUCCCGUGGAAAACAUUGACUCUCUAACAAAACUAUAAAUUUCCACUCGGCGUCUCUCGCUGGCAUAAAGUCCUAUGACUCGAGAUCGUCUGGUAACAUUUCAUUCGUAACAAAGACAUGUUGCUUUCAUAUCAUAAUUUUACUUUCCUUUUCUCAUCUCCCCUCUCUCUCUCUCUCUCUCUCUCUCUCUCUCUCUCUCUUCCUAUCAUCAUCGUCUCCCGUUGAUUAUUCAUAAAUCGCAGAGCUCGCAUGGAUCUUUACUCACUCCUCGAAGGUUUAAAAUUCAAAGUGGUUGUCUAAGCGUUUACGACGCUUUUUCGUUCUUAGAUAAGAAGAUAAGGGAGAUAAAAGGAAAUAGACGUAAAGAGCAUGCUUGUCCGCGCAUGCCUGCGUUAAAGAUUACAAGUCCAUAUGGUUUGAAAAUGAUAUGCAAUGUGCAUGAACGAAGGAAUCAACACUUUUCUCAUUGCACGAAUAUGCUCGAAGAGCGCCGUUCUUGAAUAUUUCUUUCUUAACGCUCUUUUCUCAACGAUUUCUCUUUCUUUCUCUCUCUCUCUCUCUCGCUCUCUCUCGCUCUCCCUCCCUUCCUCUCUGUUGAACCGAGACGUCGAGAGAGGCACACCGAGAAUAACGUUCUACCUACGCACACAACGUUCUCCCCUCCAAGGUUUUUGCGCCACUGAAUCGUAAUUUACCCAGAGCGUUUAUGGCAUUGUUGUGAAGCAGUGCUCGGCGUCGUCUUAUAAAACCAAUUUCGCGGGUAUUAUGCAAGCUGUCAGUCCCGUUGGUGAGUUAUGGCAAGCUUAGCCCGAAGCACAAACACGUUUUACCAUAUCCCAUACUCUCUCUAUUUCUAUAUCUCUCUUUCUCUUUCUUUCACUCAUUUUGUUCCUAUCUAUGUACGUAUGUAUGUACGUAUAACAUAGUCACUACGUUUAUGCAUAAACAUGUAUCUAGAUACAUGUACAUGUACAUCGAUAUAGCGCUUACGUUCCAUUUUGAAAUCAGGAUCUCAAUGAAGUAUAUUUUACUAAUAAAUCAUUGUGAUCUUAAAAAUGAUAUUUUUAUUACUGACGGAAAAAGACAUCGAUCGUUACUAUCAUUUGAACUUGUUCGAUAAUGGCUUUACGAUAAGAGAAAAAGAGAAGGGAGAGGAAAUAUUGGGAAGUGAUUGCGAUCUUUGACCAAAAUUAUUCGAGUAGACGUAUGUUCGUCAGGGACCUUUAUAGCAGAGAACGGAGAAUUCAUAAAAGGCGCGCAACGCGAGAUACCGACGGAAGAAUUCCGAUAUUGUAGGGAUCUAUCGGUCAAUAAACCGUCGCGUAGACUCUCGGAGGGAACGGGUAGGAAGCAGUAUCUGAACGUCGUGUUUAACUCCAUUGGAAUAUACGAUGCUAUAUCUGGAAUUUCGUUCCAGACCGUUAAGACACUAGAUUCCACUUUAUCGGCACUGUAAUGGUUAUAUAGCUGUUAAAGUUGCCCCUCAUACAACUUUUCCAAUCUUAUCUUCGCGUAUGGGUUCUCUCGUCGAGCGUGGCGGAAGGGGAGAAGCGGUAGGUUACGCCGUAAAGGAAGCGAAAGAGGAAAGGGAGGAGGAAGAACGGAAAGGAUUUAGUUAAAUUGGAGUACGCGCGAGGAGUAGUCGCCGUUGAGAUUUGUUCGGGCAUCAGAGAGCGCUGACCGUUGUAAAAGCUCUCGGAUAUAGGAAUGGCUGGGAUGGAGAAGACGGAGGAGAAGGUGGAUGAGGAAGUGGAUGAGGAGAUGGAGUGGGGAAAAGGUGGCAGCUUGUGUGUAAGCGGCAGGGAAAACCUCUUUCUCCUUUUUUCUAUUUGAGGUUAGGAUCGAGCGCGCGUCGGUGACCAGCUUGUCGAUACGUGCUUGGCAUCUCUAGACAGCUAUCCUGUCCUAUUCCACCAAGAGAGAACUCAAGAUUGUACGGCAUUUGCUACCGGAUCUCUGGAAUCUGCUAACUGGUACCUCUUCGCCGGACAGCUCGUUUCGGAGCGAUACGACGAUCUUUCUCCUUCUUUUCCAUCGUUCCGCAUUUUCUCCAUCCCCUUUUUAUCCGACGAUCUGCUUCUGAGAGUGCAUUCGAUGGAAACGCCGACUCGUUGAAUAUUUCAGACUUUAAAAGCUUUUCGCGGACUGUACCGUUUAGCUUGGCCGGUAGUGAGCGGUAAAGCGGAAACGAGACUUCUAUUUCUCCCUCCUCUACAUCAGAAGUACGUUAUCGUAAUGAGAAAGGGCGAUCCUAAGCGUCGCUUAUCGAUUUUCGAAGGAUAAUCUUAGGUUGGUCGGUAACCGGCUCACGGAACUUUUUCCAAACGUUUCACAUACUUUUACCUCGUUAUCUUAUCUCUCCCUGCUAACAACGUGCAAUCAUUUUCGAACCUUGACUUUUCCAUCGGCAUUUCGAAUGACUGAGCGUUCUCGUAGGAUCCAUGAAACGACAAUCAAUCGACAUCGGUGAAAACGAGCCACCUUGUGGGAUCAUUAAUCACCGUUGGUGAAUCGUCGAAAGAGAAGGAAGGACUCGAAGAAGAAGAAGCAGUAGAACUUGUGGAACUUGCUAAUGGGGAUUGAAAAAUCGGCUACGGGUGAUCGGCAUUGGAUGGGCCAAAGUUAUGUCAUAGAAUCCAUGCUUGAGACGUACGAUAAUAAGGGGUCAUAAGAGCAAGGAGGAUGAGGGUGAGAAGGAGGGCGGCGCGCGAGAAGUCGAGGGCUGACGUAGCAUCGAAGAUUUACGGUCGCGGGCCGGGGGCAUACAUCCUGUAUGAAUGGCGGGGCAGCUUGUAAUAAUUCAACUCCGCGGCCACACCUCGGCCACUUCCCGUCUGCAGUCUGGCAGGGCACGACCACCGCGCGGACUGCCGCUGCUCCGUUGUGGAAGGCUUUCCGUGCGGCGCAGAAGCACUUUUUUCGAAGGGCGUUGGAGUAUAUGGCGGACGUCGUCUCGGGAAAAGAGGGCGCCAGUUGGCGGUGAGAGAAGAAAAAAGAGAGAGGAAAAGAGGAAGAGAGAAAGAGAUAGAAGGCGCGAGUACAUCGGCCACCGACGUAAUAUCGGCAAACGACGCUACAUGCCGGCCAAAUAUAACGGUAUAACUUUGCCAAAUGAUACCAUUCCUUUAAUUCUUUGGAACGACUUGUCCGGACGUUUCCCCGACGAUAUAUUAAUAACAUCAUGUUCGCUCGCCGUUACCUUAUUAGACUUCCUUUCGAAUUAUCUUUAGGGAAUAAAAUGUAGUCAUUGUUGUUUUGCUCGAUCAUUGUAAAAAUCCGAUUAGUGUUUUGUCUUAUCUCGUGAAUAAUUAUAACUAGUGUAUUUAUUUGAAAACGAGAAAAAGAUUUGGCAAGAGAGUGUACAGUUUUCUUCAUUGCUUAACGAAUUCAUUUCUUUUUCUAUUUUCACAGGCCGCUAACAAGUAUUCUCGUUUUCAUCGAGAUAUAUCGACGUUAGUUUAUUGGAGGAUUUAUUUAAGCGCAUAGCGAUAUACCACCGAGAGAACGCCAUUCAGAUAAAAUCACUCGAUAUUGCUUCCUUACGUUGGAAUUUCUUUGACUUUCGAAUUGGAUCGAGUUAGAUAAGCAGAAAGCGGCUGAUCGAUGCCAGCGGAAUAAAGCGAAUACAGGACUGGUUCCACGAAACUGAUCGCCACUCAUCAAGGAAAUGAUCCUCGAGCCAAAGCUCUUGGCUUUUCUCCAUAAUGGACAGAUGUCCUGUCAUGUUGCCCGGCUUUUUAUUGAGAAAACGGGAAAAGACUAUUCUCGAAAUGUUAUAUUCACCCAAAUGUUUCUUGGAAACUAUCUUAUUAUUAUUGCUUUUUAAGUCAAGGAUCAUUAUUUACGACAUGCUCGUCCAUUUACGUGUAAUAUAUUUUUUUUAUUAUGUUUCCAAGCAACCAUAGUCGGUAAGAUAGUUUUAAAUUCGACAUUUUGAAAAUCCACGGUAGGUUAAAAGAACGGAAACUCGUACUUCCUCCGCGAUAACACGGAAUGAUGACUUUGGAUCGUGCCGAUCGCAACGUUGCAAAAAUAUCUCCAGGGCAUGAUUUCGCGUGAUGCCGUGUCGUUCACAUAUCAACGGCCUUUAUCGAUCACGCUUAUCGCUAUGAUUCCCGAGAGUCGAAAGUUUUUCGAUUUUCUACCGUUGCCGGCCGUAAAAGACAUCACUUUCACCUUCGACUUCUUCUUUUUUUCUUUUCGUGUAAAACGAUCCGACUUUUUCUAGAAAAUAAGUUUGAUCGUGAAGGGCGAUUUUAUAGGUCUAUGAGUUUAAAUGUUCGUAAGGGUUUAGGAAGCGGGAAGCGUCACUAUUUAUUUGAAAUAUGAAGGGACCAGAAGCGACAACGUUUAUUUGCCUUACGACCGAAAGAAAUCCCAAAAGCAUUGGAUCGACUGUUGGGUUAACAGCUUCUCUAUCUUUUUCUCUCUCUCGUCUUUUUAAAGCUAGAAUAUCUGCUCGGAGCUCAAGCAUAUGAUGGUAGUCGGCAUAAACGACAGCGACAAUCUUAGCCUAAGAAUAGUCUACGUAUGUGCGAAGUGGACCGAUAGGCAGGUGUUAUACGCUCGGUAAGAUGGAAGCGCUUGAUGUGAAUAUUAAGAUGUUCAUUAGCACGGAGUGCGCUUUCACAGUGUGAGACAUGUUAAGUAGUGCUACGUGCGGUCAAAGAAGAGGGUGGGGGAGAAAGAGAGAGAGAAGAUGUGGUAGGCGAAGCGAAGCUGAGUGUGAAGACGGAAAGAGACAGAGAGAGCAACAGAGAAGGAGGAAAAGAGAAGGAAGGAGAAGGGGUGAAGAGGUCUCGUAGAGGGAGUAGUACCAUUGACGGGUGAUGAAGGGUCAUCCCCUGCGGCGGUCUUUGUUAUAUCCAUGACGGUCGGCACGACUAUUUGCUCGAUACAAGGUACCACCAACACUGACACAUCACCAACGGCCUUCCAGCGUCGGCAUCGUCGAAAGAGAAAAAGGGUGAAAGAGACGAAAAUACAUAAUAAUCGGCUCCUGACGGACCUCUCGAUAAUGUGAACUGAAUUUCUCUUGUCCCUUCUUUUCUGUCGCCGAACUCUUCCUCUUCUUUCGCCACACCUUUGUUUCUAUACGACUCGCUUCUUUCGUUCUUCUUUAUCACUUCCCUUUUGUUUCACUGUGUUUAUCUUUACUUUCACGUACACGAUUCUCUAUCUUUUUCAUUUUCACUCGUGUAUAUCCUUCUCUUUUCCUUUCUUCAUCUUCCCUUCUCCAUGUCUCCGUCUUUCUCGUGUCCGUUUGACUACGUACCGCCUUGGAGGCAUCAUUAGCCAGCAUUGUGCCCGCAACACGCAUACGCACUCGAGGUAAGAGUUACCAUGACACCCGCUGCGCCUGUGAGAUUUGCGAUAGAGUUAAUGAUGCUGGGACCGCGGCGAUUUAACAAUAAGCCGCAUUAUUUACAGUCAGCUCUCGACUCCAUUACCACCGGUUGUCCGCCUCACCUGGUCCUCGUUUCUUCUUCCUUUCUCUCUCUCUUGCCUUCUCUUUAUUUUUCUCUCUCUCUUUCUAACGCGCUUGCUUGUGCUCCGCCUUUCCUUGCCUUCUGCAAGUUUCUUUCUCUCUCCUUCUUACUCAAAUAAAUUCUCACGUCUCUCGCAACGGCUUACAUCAUUUUCUAGCAAAUGUUCUAAGGGGUCGCAUUAAAGCUUUAUAGUCGGUUGUUGAUGCGUACAAACUUGUUUAUGCGGUGACCCACAUACAUUAUACAUGUAUGAAUAUAUCUCACAUGUGGUUAGAUGGCACAGUCGUGAAAAUUGUAAGAAAACGAGAUAUUUCUCUCGUAGACUAUGUAAAUGGGAUAGCUGAAUGUCGGUUAAUUUAGCGAAUUAAUACUUUUAUGAAUAUCUCUUAGUUGUUCACGAGUAAGAAUAUUUUCAUUAAUGAAUGCAAGCAGUAUUUCUUUUAGUAAAAGAAUCUAAAUGAUUUCAAUUUGCACCGUUAAUAAGUUGACGAAGAAUCUUUUGAGAAGAAGGGACGAAUGCAUUUUCCCGUGCAUAUAAGCAAUUGUACGAUAAUAACAUCUGGGAUUUCAAGUUCGUGUGAGAGGGGUUUAAUUUUGGGUAACGGAUAAUAGUCACCGUGGGAGGAUACUCGUUACACCUUCUGCAAAUUCCUGCUCAAAGCAGGUUACUCGACAACACACUGGGGAAAUAUAUGCCAGACAUUCAAUCAGAACACUGCUUCUAAGGACAACCUAUUAUCGUUAGUAUAAAACUUAUGUACGCAAUAUUUCAACGUUUGCAUUUUCAUGAUAUGUUGAAAAAAUGAAUCUCAACUAUCUAAACGUUUGUUUGUAGUUCGAUAAACAUUUUUCUUUGAUAUUCAAAUUAGCUUAUAUUUCAAGUUAGCUUAUAUUUCAUCGCGCGCAUUUCAUCGUUGAUUCUAGUAUAAUAUUCUAAGCAAAUCAGCCAACUGAUUCAUUAUCAUCCAACAACGCUUCCAAGAAACGUUUAGAUGUAAAUUCUGACUCAUACCACGUUUUAUCUCCUUUGUCUUCGUAGAUUAUUCUUCAAGCUUUUCUAACGCUAAUAAUAACUGUGAUCCAGCCACGAUGAGUUGUCAUAUAAAGAGACUAAAAGGUAUUUUUGAAGAUGUCUUGAGAUAGGAAAAAAAGAACAAAAGAAGCGUAUUUGUCAUGACGAAGGACCAUUGCGAAAUUAAAAUACAACCAUUUGCCUGCAUCGAAUUCAAUUUGGUAAAUACGUCGUCGGUGCCCUUCUCCAUUAAUGAAUUCCUGAUUUAUCAUCCAUUAAGGUGUCAGGGCGUGCUCGGCUUUCGCUGCUCGGUUCGCGCCGUCGGAAAUUUAUGUGGAUAGGUGUGAUUAAUGCGAUGUUCGCGGAAACACACGGACAUCUGUGUUAAUGGUGACGGAUGGCCACCCUAAUGGUGUCAGCCAGCGACAGGCGUCCUCAUCUAGUUCUUCUCGGUCACCCGCGCGCUGGACUCGCUAGUGCUGGCUACCGUACUAGCUCCGUUCGUCCGUCUCUCUCCCCAAUCUAUCUGUCUGUCUGUCUGUCUGUCUGUCUGUCUGUCUGUCUGUCUGACUGACUGUCUGCGUCUCUCUCUCUCUCUCUCUCUCUCUCUCUCUCUCUUUCUCUCUUGUUCUCGCUCUCUCGUUAGAAUCUGCUUGAGUAUGCGUACACCGCAAAUCAUUUGGUACGAUACGACUGAUUUCAUGCGAUUGUGCGUUUCAUUGGCCUUGUCUCGAUAUAAUGCAGUUACACUGUCGCCUGGUACGGCACAUUUCAAGCUCUCCAGAUCGUUUGUUUUACGGAUCGAAGAGAUCAUAUACCAUAAAAGAACGGUGUUCUUCCUUAACCUCAUUUAUUCGUUGAGUUUUAAUUAAUAUUUAACGUCAGAGCGUCGUCGUAAAGAUCUCUUAGCGAUUAGGAACUUGUAAAAAGGAAAAGCAGGGUCGAUUUCGUAUCGAUAAAACGUAUAAAUAAAGUGGUAGUAGUAGAAGUAGUAGGCAUUUAAAGCCGCAAGGGAGCAGUCUUCAAUAGCGAAGCAUUAAAUACUUCGUUUUGCAAUAGCAACCGGUUCGAUACAUACGGAAUGAUCGCGUACUUACAGAGAGAAUCAUAGAAGAGUAGGAAAAUUAAGAAGAAAUGUAAGAAAAAAGAGACAAGCACCGUAGGUAGUAAAACUAGCGCAUGAUAAUUCUUUGAAUGAGUAUCGCGUAAAUUAUUAUCGUCGCGAGAAGUUUCGUACGCCUUAAUAAAUCCGUACGCGAUUCGAUCGAAGAUAAUUCGCGAUGUCUUUUCCCUUUGGCGAUUUAACUCCCGCCGAUAUCUCUCACUUAUCGUCGAUUCGUAAUUAAAUUACUAGCCGCAUCCUGAACAACUCUCACAAGUAUGCGAAUGCGUAUACGCCACACGUAUAUUAUACAUGUAUAUGUAUGUGGGUAGAAAUGAUAUCGCACGCACAUCGCUAUCGAUGACAGAUUCCAAUCGCGAUUCAUCCUCCUUUUGCAUCUCAGAAACUUACGUAACGCUUUCGCUCGGUCGAAGGGAUUGGCUGUAUCGACGGUUCGCCGCUGCAAAACGAAUUAUCAUAACUCGUUCGAACAACGUUGCUUAUCCGCGGCGAUUUAAUUUAACGAGCAUUCCAUGCCGCGCUGCCUCUCGCAAGACGGCCCGUACCACCGGCGUUUAUCGAAGAUUUGCGAAAUUUACGAUGCGUGCGUCCGCGUAGGACAUUUAAUGUAGAAACCCGUAGCAAACGGGUUAUCCUUUAUCUUUAUCUUGGACCAGCUUACGUCAAGGAAAGACAGAGAGAAAGAGAGAGAGAGAGAGAGAGAGAGAGAGAGAGAGAGAGAGAGAAAGUGAGAGACUGAAAGAAAAAGAGAGAUAGAGAAAGAGAGAGGCAUCUAAAUCAUACGUCCUUUUAAAAACGGAAACUCUCGCGAACUAACACGAAGGAUUAUUUUCCAGCGUGAGAUAGGCGAUUAUGAACGAGCUAGGCGAAAAACUAUCUCGAUUCCAGGGCGGCCAUCGAAUGUGGGAAGAGAGAAGAAAAGCAACGGAACGCAUCGGCUAGGUAGACAGGGAGGCAGGCAGGCAGGCAGGCAGGCAGGCAAGCAAGUAAGCAAGCAAGCAAGCAAGCAAGCAAGCAACCAGCAGACAGGAGGGCAAGCAGGAGGGCAGGCAGGUAGGCAGGCGAGCAGGCAGGCAGGCAGAUAUUGAGCUCUAUAUUUCCAUAAGCUGAUAUUUACGCGGCAAUAUACGCGGCCGUGCCCGCUACUUUAUGGGCCUCGUAAAUAUAGCGGGCCGCCGGGAAUUGGCUGGCAAGGCGGCCACGGUCUCUCUCUCUUUCUCUCUGCCCCUUCUCUUUUUCGUUCUCUUUCUCUCUCGUCUCAACCCCCACCUAUUCCUUCUUCAUCUGUCUCUUUCUCUUUCGCUAGGUGGAGAACGUUCGCGCGUGCUCUUGACUCUCUUCCUCUUUAUAACUUCCCUUCAUUUCUCUUUCUCUUUUUCUCUCUUUCCCUCUCUCUCUGUUCGGCCUCUGCAUGGCGUAGCCUGCCUGUUUUGCCUGCCCUCAUCCGGCCCAAAGACAUAAAUCGCCGCCAAUUGUAAAUAAUACGCGACGUAUGCUGAUCUCCGUUUCUACGUACCGCUAUAUAUGUAUGAGUA